CGAACGGGUGAGUAACACGUGGAUAAUCUGCCCUUGAGUUCGGGAUAAUUCCCCGAAAGGGGUUGUAAUACCGGGUAACAUCUCCUGGUGGCAUCACCGGGAGAUCAAAGGCGGGGUAACCCGCCGCUUGAGGACGAGUCCGCGUUCCAUUAGCUUGUUGGUGAGGUAACAGCUCACCAAGGCUGCGAUGGAUAGCCGGCCUGAGAGGGCGAUCGGCCACACUGGGACUGAGAUACGGCCCAG
Molecule: ribosomal RNA, 243 nt
Filed under: uncultured bacterium
Lineage: Bacteria
Description: partial 16S ribosomal RNA
Rfam family: Bacterial small subunit ribosomal RNA
Source: RNAcentral